Molecule: ribosomal RNA, 497 nt
Filed under: uncultured bacterium
Lineage: Bacteria
Description: partial 16S ribosomal RNA
Rfam family: Bacterial small subunit ribosomal RNA
Source: RNAcentral
GAUGAACGCUGGCGGCGUGCCUAAUACAUGCAAGUCGAACGCUGAGGCGGGGGCUUUCUUCUCUGGACGAGUUGCGCACGGGUGAGUAACGCGUAUGUAACCUGCCUCUUAACGAGUGAGAACACUUGGAAACACCGGCUAUAACACCAUAUAAUAUAUUGUUCCGUAUGGUUUAAUAGAAAGAGACGGUUGUGCUGUUACCUAUAGAUCCUUCCGCGCCGCAUUAGCUAGUUGGGAGGGUAACGGCUUACCAAGGCGAGGAUGCGAAGCCGACCUGAGAGGGUGAUCGGCCACACGGGAACUGGAAAACGCUCAAGACUCCUACGGGAGGCAGAGUAGGGGAAUCUUGGGAAAUGGGCGAAGGCCUGACGGAGAAAGGCGGCGUGGGGGAGGAAGGUCUUCGGUUCGUAAGACUCGGUGAUUGGGGAGGAACAGUGGGGGAAGUGAAUGUGCACGUCGUGACGGUACCUAAUCAGAAAGCCACGGCUAACUACGUG